RNAcentral lists this transfer RNA (76 nucleotides) under Chloroflexota bacterium. Its description in RNAcentral is "Chloroflexi bacterium (sediment metagenome) tRNA-His". It matches the Rfam family "tRNA". From Rfam's summary of the family: Transfer RNA (tRNA) molecules are approximately 80 nucleotides in length. Their secondary structure includes four short double-helical elements and three loops (D, anti-codon, and T loops). The record is from RNAcentral. Lineage: Bacteria; Bacillati; Chloroflexota.
GAGGGCGUAGCUCAGCGGUGAGAGCGCCUGACUGUGGAUCAGGAGGUCGCGGGUUCGAACCCCGUCGCCCUCCCCA